GGUGUUUACUGUCGAACUGAACACUCUACCGUUUACUGUCUGGUGGUGCUCUUCACCGAGUGUCACCAGUGGUCGGUACGUUUACUUUGAAAAAAUUAGAGUGCUCAAAGCGGUUUUUACACGACCGAAUACUGUUGCAUGGAAUAAUGAAAUAGGACUUUGGUUCUAUUUUGUUGGUCUUCGGAACCAAGGUAAUGGUUAAGAGGGACAGACGGGGGCAUUAGUACUGCGACGCUAGAGGUGAAAUUCUUGGACCGUCGCAAGACUAACUAAAGCGAAAGCAUUUGCCAAGAAUGUUUUCAUUAAUCAAGAACGAAAGUUAGAGGUUCGAAGGCGAUCAGAUACCGCCCUAGUUCUACCAUAAACGAUGCCAACCAGCAAUCAGCCUGUGUUCUCUUGAUGACACGGCUGGCGGCUUCCGGGAAACCAAAGUCUUUCGGUUCCAGGGGAAGUAUGGUUGCAAAGCUGAAACUUAAAGGAAUUGACGGAAGGGCACCACCAGGAGUGGAGCCUGCGGCUUAAUUUGACUCAACACGGGGAAACUCACCCGGCCCGGACACUGUGAGGAUUGACAGGUUGAAGCCCUUUCUUGAUUCAGUGGGUGGUGGUGCAUGGCCGUUCUUAGUUGGUGGAGUGAUUUGUCUGGUUAAUUCCGAUAACGAACGAGACUCUAGCCUACUAAUUAGACCGUGGCGUCCUCGUGCCGCCACGGCGCUUCCUAGAGGGACAGACGG
Molecule: ribosomal RNA, 734 nt
Filed under: uncultured eukaryote
Lineage: Eukaryota
Description: SSU rRNA
Rfam family: Eukaryotic small subunit ribosomal RNA
Source: RNAcentral